CAAUAGCGUAUAUUAAUGUUGUUGCAGUUAAAAAGCUCGUAGUUGGAUUUCUGGUGGGAGCGGUUGGUCUGCCCCGCGAGGGGUAGUUACUGAGCCGUAUCCGGCCCUUUUCGGGUUGACCGUGGCUGGCAUUAAUUUGUCGGUGCGGGAGGCCCGUCGUUUACUGUGAACAAAUUAGAGUGUUCAAAGCAGGGUGUUCUUGAAUACAUUAGCAUGGAAUAAUGAGAUAGGACUUUGGUGGUUCUCACUUUUGUGGGAUAUUUUGUUGGUUUGCACGCCAAAGUAAUGAUUAAUAGGAGCAGUUGGGGGUAUUCGUAUUCAAUUGUCAGAGGUGAAAUUCUUGGAUUUCUAGAAGACGAACUACUGCGAAAGCAUUUACCAAGGAUGUUUUCAUUA
This 396-nucleotide ribosomal RNA is filed under the name uncultured eukaryote. Its description in RNAcentral is "partial 18S ribosomal RNA". It matches the Rfam family "Eukaryotic small subunit ribosomal RNA", at positions 592 to 975 of the family's 1831-position model. The record is from RNAcentral.